AGUGGGAGUGGCGCGUGCUUACCAUGCAGUCGAACGGACAUGUCUUUCGGGAUAUGUUAGUGGCAGACGGGUGCGUAACACGUAGGUGACCUGCCCUGGAGUGGGGAAUAACUAUCCUAACGGAUAGCUAAUACCGCAUAUGCUCGGUGAUUCAUUUUGCCGAGUAAAGUCGAAAGGCGCUUCAGGAUGGGCCUGCGGCGGAUUAGGUAGUUGGUAGGGUAACGGCCUACCAAGCCGAUGAUCCGUAGGGGGCGUGAGAGCGUGGCCCCCCACACUGGCACUGAGAUACGGGCCAGACUCCUACGGGAGGCAGCAGUGAGGAAUAUUGCGCAAUGGGCGAAAGCCUGACGCAGCAACGCCGCGUGAGGGACGAAGGCCUUCGGGUCGUAAACCUCUUUUCUGGGGAAAGAGCAAGGACGGUACCUCAGGAAUAAGUCUCGGCUAACUACGUGCCAGCAGCCGCGGUAAAACGUAGGAGGCGAGCGUUAUCCGGAUUUACUGGGCGUAAAGCGCACGCAGGCGGCUUCGUUAGUCGGGUGUGAAAGCUCCUAGCUUAACUGGGAGAGGCCACUCGAUACUGCGAGGCUUGAGGUUGGGAGAGGGGUGUGGAAUUCCCGGUGUAGUGGUGGAAUGCGUAGAUAUCGGGAGGAACACCUGUGGCGAAAGCGGCACCCUGGCCCACACCUGACGCUGAGGUGCGAAAGCGUGGGGAGUAAACAGGAUUAGAUACCCUGGUAAUCCACGCUGUAAACGAUGUCAACUGGGUGUCGGUAGCUUUACGCUAUCGGUGCCGAAGCAAACGCGUUAAGUUGACCGCCUGGGGACUACGGCCGCAAGGCUAAAACUCAAAGGAAUUGACGGGGGCCCGCACAAGCAGCGGAGCGUGUGGUUUAAUUCGAUGCAACACGAAGAACCUUACCCAGGUUUGACAUGGGUCGUAGUAGUGAACCGAAAGGGGAACGAGCCUUCGGGCAGCGAUCACAGGUGCUGCAUGGCUGUCGUCAGCUCGUGUCGUGAGAUGUUGGGUUAAGUCCCGCACGAGCGCAACCCCUGUUGCCAGUUACAUGUGUCUGGGCGAGACUGCCGGGUAUCAAGCCCGGAGAAGGUGGGGAUGACGUCAAGUCAGGCAUG
RNAcentral lists this ribosomal RNA (1131 nucleotides) under uncultured bacterium. Its description in RNAcentral is "bacterial SSU rRNA". It matches the Rfam family "Bacterial small subunit ribosomal RNA", at positions 32 to 1197 of the family's 1533-position model. The record is from RNAcentral.